UGGGGUACCACCUUCAACAGUCCAGCUUGCAUAGCCAUGAUCUGCUCCUUGCUCUCCUCCAGUCGAGCUUUCUGUACCAGACGGAUGAACUCCUUACGGUCCUCAUAGUGGACCACAGUGUUGCUGCCAUUGGGAAUCAGCUCCACCAUACGUUGGUCACUCAGCACCGUUGUGUAGGUCAGCUCAUUCCCAAAUUUGAACUCAAAGGUGUCUCUGUCCAUCACUUCCAUCACCUCCAGGAGUUUCACCUGCCCAGAUGAGUGCUUGUUAGAGAUGCCCAGUGGGCGGAAAUAUGCCUGGUCCCUCAUCUCCU
Molecule: long non-coding RNA, 313 nt
Filed under: Gallus gallus (chicken)
Lineage: Eukaryota; Metazoa; Chordata; Aves; Galliformes; Phasianidae
Source: RNAcentral